CAGAGAGCCUGUAAUACACCAGACCAGUGGAGCCAGACUGCAGCUAGAGCCCAUCAUCAUCCUCAUCUGGUUGUAAGUAGGCAAUCUAGUAUAUUAUUUGUGGCACUAAUCUCUAGUCCCCAGAACCACUUCAGCUUAAUGAAGUGGUUCUGGUGUCCAUAGCCUGUCCCUGCAGGCCUUUUAAUGUAAACACUGCGGCACUGCAGCACUGGCGUUAGUUAACAUGGCGGAUCAUAUGGGUGGGGCAUUGUGAUGUCACAUGGGGGGGGCGGCAAACUUUACUUUUGCCUAGGGCGGCAAAAAUCCUUGCACCGGCAGGGCCGGACUGGUCUUAAUCGGGAUACAACCGAAAUCUCUCCCCGGUGGGGUCACGUAGUAUACUGGGGGCCGUGGCCGCCGCCUCUGGCCGGCCCCCUUAACAUUGCAGCCCUGUUUCCAGAAGAAAUGCGUCAGGCGGAAAGCCGUGCAGCUUCAACAGCCAAAAAUCCCAGCGGCCGGCUGGAGUGAUAGGAAGGGGCACACUGAGUGUGCACUUCCUGUCAGUCCGGCCGGUUACAGGAAACAGAAACCCCGCGCGGAACAGGAGUUUCUGUUUCCUGUAACCGGCCGGACUGACAGGAAGUGCAUACUCAGUGUGCACCUUCCUAUCACUCCGGCCGGCCACCGCGGACCGGAGUGCAGCUCGGCCACGCUACAGGGAGGGGGGUAAGAAGAGGGGAGGGGGAAUACAGCGAGGAACAAAAAAAGAGGGGGAGGGGAAUAAGAAGAGGGGAGUGGAGGGGAAUAAAAAGAGGGAGUGGGGGGAAGAAGAGGGAGGGGGUAAUAAGAAGGGGGAAUAAGAAGGGAGGGGGAAUAAGAUGAGGGAGGGAGGGAUGCUACAGGGGACAAAAAAAGAGGAGUGGGGAAUAAGAUUUAUAGAGUGGGAAUAAGAAGAGGGGGAAUAACAAGAAGAGGGAGGAGGGACAAGAAGAGGGAGUGGGGAAUAAGAUGAGGAGUGGGGGAAUAAAAGGGAGGAGGGAGGGGAACAAGAAGAGGGGGGAAUAAGAUGAGGGGGAUAAGAAGAGGGAGGGCAGGAUAAGAAGAGGGAGGGGGGAAUAAAAGAGGGAGGGGGGAAUAAGAUGAGGGGGGAAUAAGAAGAGUGGAGGGCGGGGAAUAAGAAGAGGGGAGGGGGGAAUAAGAAGAGGGGAGGGAGGGAUAAGAAGAGGGGAGGGGGGAAUAAGAAGAGGGGAGGGAGGGAUAAGAAGAGGGGAGGGAGGGAAUAAAAAGAGGGGAGGGGGGAAUAAGAUGGGGGGAAUAAGAAGAGGGGAGGGGGGGAAUAAGAAGAAGGGGCAGCUCUAUAGGACAGGGGCCAAGACAGGGAGCUCUUUCACACUACGCGCGCACACACACACACAAUGCAUCCCUAUACAUACACACAGAGAAACACACAAUGCAUCCAUUACACACACACACACAAUGCAACCCUUACACACAAAGACAAUGCAUCCUUUGCACACAUACACAGAAACAGACAAUGCAAACCCGUACACACGCAUGCAAACACACACACUUCUUUUCUUACAUACACACAGAAACACAAUGCAUCUCAUGCACACACAUACAGACACACACCUUGCAUCCCUUAUGCAUACAAACACAGAUUCACACAAUGCAUCCCUUACACACAACCAGAAACACAUAAUACAUCCCUUAUACACAAAUACACACUGCUUCCACUACACACAAACACACUGCAUCACCUGCACAAACUGGUAACCCUAAACACUACAUACCAUAAGCACACAUAUUAGAUCCUCUACAAUAACACAUAACACAUCCCCUACACACUCCACUCCCUGUGAGCGAACUCAUGGGUGGGUGGAACUUAUGAGUGGGCCUUAUGGGCAUACUCACCGUCAGGCCCUGGGGCCCAGACCUUGAGCUGUGUAAGGGGCCCCAAAAAAUUGAGCUGCUUCCAAUUCUCCCAGAACAUUGAAUUUUGUGACCACAGUUGCAAACAGCCUCCAGAGAUCCUGUUCUACACCAGACCAGUGGAGCCAAACUGCAGCCCAUCAUCAUCCUCAUCUGCUUGUAAGUAGGCAAUCUAGUAUAUUAUUAGUGACACUAAUCUAUAAUUUACCUCACAUUAAAGGGACACUAUAGCUUAAUGAAGUGGUUCUGGUGUCUAUAGCUGGUCCCUGCAGGCUUUUUAAUGUAAACACACACUGUGUGCAGCACUGGCGUUAGUUCAUAUGGCAGAUCAUAUGGGUGGGGCAUUGUGAUGUGACAUGUGGGGGCAGCAAAUUUUUAUUUUGUCUAGGGUGGCAAAAAUCCUUGCACCGGCUCUGAUCCUGGGCAGGUGCACCAGUCUACUUGACUGGUUUUGCCCCCCAGGCCUAAGGCUGCCAGCCCUCCCCUGGCCGCUGGGGAGGUCUUUUGGCGGCCCUGGCGGACUUGUCCUGGCGGCCGCUGAGGGAGCUGCGCGAGCUGCGCUGGCUCUGCUCCCCAGCACGCAGCUGAAUGAGACCAGCGCCGGAAUAUGACGUCAUAUUCCGGCGCCAGUCUCAUUCAGCAGCGCGAGGGCGGGAGGGCACUAACACAGGAAGCACCUCUAGUGACCGUCUGAGGGACUGUCACUAGCAGUGUCACUUUGAAGCAAUGUAAACACUGCCUUUUGUCUGAAAAGUCAGUGUUUACGUUGAAAAGCCUGUAGGGACAUGCUAUAGACACCAGUACCACCACAUUAAGCUGUGUGUGUGUGUAUCAAUGAGCUUGUGUGUGUCACUGAAAUGUCAGUGAAAUUGCCUGUGUCUGCAUGUGCGUAUGCUUACUGUAUAAUUAAACGUUUUACCCUGAAAGGACCAAUAUUUUAUAUUAGAAAAAGCAAUAUAUAUAUAUAUAUAUAUAUAUAUAUAUAUAUAUAUUACUCAAUCAUCUGUCCUGGCAAGAUAUAGCCUUACAUAUUACACGCGACAAUAUAUGGCGCAGUGACUUAUGGGGCUGGCACAAAUUUUUUUUCCAGGGCUGCUUUGUAUCCCCAGUCCGGCCCUGUGCACCGGCCCUGGUUGUAUACAGCAAACACAGACUAAAAGGAAUCCAUGUUUAACCCCUUAAGGACUGAGCCAAAUGUACACACUGUGAUCAAAACAAAAUGUAAACAAAAACUUGAAUUUGCGCUAUAUGUCUGUUCAGGCGUAAUUCACCACUUUCAUACUAUGUGCACCCACACUUAUUAUAAAUCAUUUUAUUUAGGGGAAACAGUACUUUCAUUUAACAUCAAAUAUUUAGAUAUAGGACAAUCUAAUAUGAAUAAAAUAUAAAAAAAAUGGGAGAAAAUAAGAAUUUUCAAUUUUUUUUAGUUCUACGUGACAUUUUAACUGUUAAGGUCAUAAUAAUGUUUGCUUUUACUGCAAUAAAAUACACAUAUUUGUAUUCAGCGAUGUCUCACGUGUAAAACCGUACCCCCUAUGUACAGGUUUUAUGGUGUUUUGGGAAGUUACAGGGUCUAAUAUAGCAUGUUACAUUUUUCAGUUUUUUCCCACUGAAAUUCCUUGUUGCCUUUGAGACCAUAUGGUAGCCAAGGAAUAAGAAUUACCCCCAUGAUGGCAUACCAUUUGCAAUAGUAGACAACCCAAUGUAUUGCAAAUGGGGUAUAUCCAUUCUUUUUUAGUAGCCACUUGGUCACAAUCACUGGCCAAAGUUAGUGUUAAUAUUUGUUUGUGUGUGAAAAAUGCAAAAAAAUUAUUUGAACGCCAAUUUUGGCCAGUGUUUGUCUACCAUUGCAAAUGGUAUGCCAUCAUGGGGGUAAUUUUCAUUCCUGGGCUACCAUACGGUCUCAAAGGCAACGUAACCAAUCUGGCGAAUUUCAAUGGGAAAAAACUGAAAUGCAAGCCUUAUAUUUGACUCUGUAACUUUUAAAAAUACCAUAAAACCUGUAUAUGGGGGGUACUGUUAUACUCAGGAGACUUCGCUGAACACAAAUAUUAGUGUUUCAAAACAGUAAAACGUAUUUAUGUAAUCAUUUUACAUAAUUAGGUCAUUUUAUUAAUUACAAUUUGUGUGUGUGUAUAUAUAUAUAUAUAUGUAUAUAACUUUUUAUUAUUUUUAUUUAUACAAAGGUGUGUAUAUAUAUAGUGAUAUAUACGUGUAUAUAUUUAUGUAUAUAGAUAUAUAUUAUUUCGUUCUACGUGUAUUUUGAUAUCAAUAUAUAUUAAUUUUAAAAUACAGUGAGAACAAAAUUACACAUAUAUAUUAUUUAUUAUUUUUAUUUUUUAACACAUUUACAUAUAUUUAUUUUAUAUUAUAUAUAAAUAUAUAUAAUGAUAAUUAUAUAUAUAUAUAUUUAAUCAAUAUCAUUCUACGUGUACUUUGAUAUUAAGAUAUAUAUAUAUAUAUAUAUAUAAUUAUAUAUAUAUUAAUAUUAAAAUACACUUAGACAGUGUAUGUGUAUUUAUGUGUAUGUAUGUGUAUCUGUAUAUAUAUACUUAGAUCAUAUAUAUAAUAAUCUAAGUAUAUAUAUAUAUGAUCUAAGUAUAUAUAUAAUAUAAUUUUACACUGUUUAAACUUCUAUUUUAUUUAUUUCAGGCAGCAGGGGGAGUACUUGUCAUUACAGGCACUCCCCCUGCUGGCAUUGCUAUGGACGGCUAUGCCGUCCAUGUGAUCGUGAGGUCCUCGCAAGGACCUUGUGAUCACAUGGCCCGGGGGGCCGAAACGGACAGACGGGGACUCUCUGGGCUCCCAGGUGAGUUCCCACACUGCAAUUGCCGGCGUGGGAUUGCCGGCGACCGGGUAAGUUAAAAGGACGGCGGGGACAUGCUAUGCCGCCCCCCUGCGUUUAGAGCCAGGUCCCUAAGGAUGGCAUAGCACGCCCGCCGUCCUUAAGGGGUUAAAAUGGAAUGAGGCAAAAAUGUGAUGCUUUGUUGAACUAAUUUGCAUAUGCCCACCCAGAAUCCUUUGCGGUAGUAACAUCACUGCAGAUUUGUGAUUUCUGUGGGAGAACUGUGGGCUGACAGGUCUGCAGCUUUUUGUUUAACAUUGUAUUUACUAUAUAUAUAUAUAUGUGCCAUUACUCCAAUCUCCCCUGAUUCCUUCCAACCCCCCUCUCUCUAUUUUCUUUCUCUCAGUUCCCAUUUUACCAAUGUAGACUGCCCUCCUCCUUUAUAUAAUUACAUUUGGUUUCCUACUGUGUUUCCUAAUGCCCCCACAACUGGUGAUGUACCCUAUGGCAUGCUUUAAGAAAUCAUAAAUCAUUCUGUAACUCACUAUGUUCCUUACUGGUAUUUUGCUCUCAAUGAAGGUUUAUAAAUGUUUGAAAAAGCACAACUGAGCUGUGUUUCUAGGUCUGAGGGCACUGUAAAAAUUAUUUUUAAAAAAUUAAACAAAAAAAGUAUAGAUAUGUAUAGUAGAUCAAGAGAUGUUGCAGUUCCAUUUUUUCCUUUCUAACUUCACUGUAUAUCAUUAUCAUAUGUGAAGGCCACAAAUUGCUUGCAUAAUGCACUGUAAUGCCCACAUUAGUAAUGUCUAACAUGGCACUCAACCUAUCAGGGCCAUUGUUCUCAUGGUACUCUGUCAGGUUUAAUGUUUGUGGAGCAUCAUGGGAAAUGUAGGCUAUGCCAGCUAGAACACCAACAACAUUCAGUAUAGGCAUUACACACACUAUUUAGAUGUCUGACAUAGUUAUUAAAGUGUAAAUAGUCACAAAUUCAAAGAAAAUUUCACAUUUUAUGUCAAAAUAACUGAACUGGAAAAAUUCUCAGUCAGCCAUGUUCACAAUUUGAGAUAUUUUGGUCUAAAGUUUGGAAUUCACUUUAAAUCCCCCAACAUUGACACUUUAGUAAAGAAGUUUGUGAAUUGUCUUUGUUUCUCCAACCUUGACAUAAUAAAGUGGUAAUGUAUGCGCCCUCUUUUUUUAAAACAGACGAUGCAGUCACAGGAAGCCCCUGGAGUCCAGUAUAGUCGGUGGAAUGACCAAAACCAAGAUGAAGUGAGUGUGACCACAUCUUCCUCUGAGGCCCCAACAUGGAGAAGGUAAAGUUACCGAGCAAAGGCUUGAUUUAAUUAUGAAAUCAAAGAUAUUUUAAAUAGUUCCUGUUUGUUUGUUUGUUUGUUUGUUUAUAGAAAAUCACAGCAAUAGCUCUACCUGCACCUAUCAGAGAACAGAAAGCAUAAAUGGCAAUUUGUACAUUUGAAUAAAUUAUUAUGCAAAAUACAGAUUAAGGAGCAGUGCUGAAUCUGUAUCUUGUGUAAAUUAUGGUCUUUACAGCAAUACCACUGUUGAGAAAUGUAUAUUCCGGGUGUGCCCUAAAUUCCCCUUUGUUCUUUGUGUUAUUAUACUCCGAGCAGGACAGACCACAGACCAACCUGAAAAGGAAACUUUAGUCACCUAAACAACUUUAGCUUAAUGAAGCAAUUCUGGUGUAUAGAUCUCUACAGUCUCACUGAUCAAUUCUCUGCUAUUUACGAAUUAAAUCACUUUGUUCAUCCAGACCUGUUCACACGUCCAUGUUUCUGACUUACACAGUCUUCCUAAACACUUCCUGUAAAGAGUCAUCUAAUGUUUAUUCUUCCUUUAUUGUAAAUUCUGUUUCAUUUAGAAUUUCUUAUCCCCUGCUCUGUUAAUAAUUUGCCAGACCCAGCAGGAGCCUCCUGUGUGUGAUUAAAGUUCAAUUUACAGAGCAGGAGAUAAAAGAACUUAAACUAAGUUACAUCUGAUGAAAUGAAGCCGUUUUUUGUCAUUCAGGCUGUGUCAGUCACAGCCAGGGGAGGUGUGACUGGGGCUGCAUAAACAGAAACAAAAGUGAUUUAACUCCUAAAUGGCAGUGAAUUGAGCAGUGAAACUUCAGAGGCAUGAUCUAUACACAAAAACUGCUUCAUUAAGCUAAAGUUGUUUUGGUGACUAUAGUGUCCCUUUAAAAUACCAGAAGUGUCUAGAGUGCUAAACAAUAUUACCGACUUAAAACAAGCAAACAAAUUUGAAUGCUGCACAAACUAAAAGUUUAUAAAACAAGGUGACAAGUUCAACUCAUUAUUUUUGUUUUAUUUUUAGGGUCUGGAACAUGCUGUGUACGGGCAAGAUUGGCAUUGUAGUGAAAGUGAUAGGGGGAUUGGCAUUCUUUUGGAUUGUUUUUAUCAUUGGAUAUGUCACCGGUUACUAUGUCCAUAAAUGCAAACAGCAGUGACAUGCCUAUCAGAUUUUUUUUGUAUGAACUAUUUCCUCAAACUGAAAGCCCUGGACUAUCACAGAAGAAUGAAACUUCUAAUAAGGAAACUCUUAUGGAACAACAACCUGCAGAACAACUAGAAACAAUAUAAAGGGUGGAACAGAAAAGAAAACCACAGAUACUUUAUAAAUUCAAAUACAUGUGAAUGUCAAUCAAUGUAAGAUGACUCCAACAUAAUAUUCAGACUAUUACACAUAAAACCAGGCGUGUUUUGUACAUAACAAGUGUUAUGAAACUACAGAUUGAUAUUGAUAUUCUGUUUGUCAAAUGGUACAUGUUUCCAAUUCUAUCAUUUAAUGUAUUUUAAAUCAAAUUUCUCAGAAUUUGAUACAUGAAUUGAUCUUGAUAACUAGGGACUUUAAUGACAAUUUAAAGUCAAAAUCAUAAAUUUGGUAGGCAAAUGUUGACAUCAAAAAUAUUUCAUUGGGGAACGGUAAGAAUGACUGAAUUAAAAUAAAACUUAUGAGUUAAUAAUUAAGUAAAAAUCUAUGCAUAUAGAUUAAUAAUAAUAAUAUAAUAAAGAUAUGCGGCCCACAAACAAUAGACUAAAAAGAGUUAUUUUUAUUUAAAAUGUAUUCGUAAACAAAAAGAGAAAUUAUAAUAAUAUAUAGCAUACAUAGUGAAUACAAUAAGAUAUAUAAUAGCAAAUAAACAUUCUCCCUACGCUUUAUAUUGUAUAAGAUUUAUUGAUGUUUAACUCUUUAAGAAUGACCUGCAAAAUAGAUCCAGAUCUGAAAUCCUACUGAUAUUUCAGUGGAAAUGUUCUUUGUUAAAAGGUUUUUUUGGGGAAAGACUUAUUGACGUCACAUUCAAAAUAGAGCAUGGUGGGGUGGAGUCGUGCACCUGUGCAGUGAAGUCAGAAAUGGUGGUGGAAAAUGUGGAGUGAUAACAGACAGACCUAUAAAUUCAUUGAAAACAGGAAAACGAAUCAGCCUCUAAGAAAGUCUGAUGUAGUGAAUGAAACAUAAAGUUUUUAAGCAAGGCUACAAACAAGUCGACAUGUGGAAGAGGUUCCUUGUGGGUGCCCAUUUGCCUUGACCACAAACAUCUAGAGAAAUCCAGAGGAACUUUAAAAGGACAUAGUGUCUUCAGUGGAUUCGAGAUGUAUAAACGAGGUGGAGUUUGGGUGGAACUACCGAGCAACUGUGACAACAGCUCUUUUGUGCAGUUAUGUUAUUUUGCAAGUUGCCUUGUCUGAAAAGGGUUUAUUAAAUUUGUAUGCUAAGUUGCGAUGAUAAAAUCUUUUUUUUUUUGUUUUAACUUACAUGUUUUUAUACAAACAAUUAGAUAACUAUUCACUCGGUGUAUACCAUAUGUAAUGUGUACAUACUACACUUUCCAAUCUAAUGCCCCUGUUUCCACUUAUAUUUGUGUUCUAUACACUAAUCAAAGAUGUGAGUAAGGGGGUGACAUUUGAAUCAUGUAUUACCUGGGCUUAUUUCAAUUUUAUAAAUUUUAAAUGCCUUGUUGUUCAUCAAUCGACAUGAAGGCAAAUUACGGUGUCAUGGAAAGAUCAUUGUAAAUUUGCAACAUGUGAUGCUGUGAUGCAUGGGUCAACGAAUCACCUGGAAUUUUUUUAUAAUGGUUCUAUCUAGAAUAUUGUUCUUUAGUUCAGUGAAACAGAAGUUGAAAUGUGCACUGCCAUGCAUGAAUGGUUUAUUAACCAUUAAGGACACUAGAGGGAAAUCAAGAUUCGAGACCACUUUGAUGCCCCUGAGCCUUCAUAGCUUGCCACCACCGAGGGAACAAUGAAUUCAAAAUCGUAUGUAAGAAAUUUUACACAAGUAUAAAAAUGUAGGAGCUGGUCAUGUGAAGCUUUGUAGACAGUAGGAGAGAUUUACCAAAGUGAAAAGUGAAGCAAAAUGGUAAAAGUGGAAUAGUCAUUAAUAAAAUACUGUGUUUCAAUCGAUUGCAUUGGUUUCCAUGGUGACCGCCUCACCUUUGGUACUUUGCCCCUACUUUACAGAGCACAGUACUUUGAUAAAUCUCUCCAGUGACUGAAAACACUGGAGUAAAUCAACAACAGAAUGGCUCUCACAGAAGAGUUAAGGGUCGGGACUUUUCACAAAAUAAUUGAAUUAACAUUACAUCCUCAGCUCCUGUGAGAGGAAGUUGACUGCUGUUCAUCAUUCUUGUACUCUCAUGUAUGGACAAGAGUACAAAACAGAGGUUUAUGGAAGAUCAUGUAACAGAUCUGCUCUUUCAUGGGCAAUGGGAUGUUAUUCUCAUCUAUUGAGCAUCUAAUGAGAUACUGGAGCUGAAGUUAAGAAAGUG
This is a non-coding RNA of Pelobates cultripes (western spadefoot toad), 9473 nucleotides long. NCBI's taxonomy places the organism in Eukaryota, Metazoa, Chordata, Amphibia, Anura, Pelobatidae. The record is from the annotation of a GenBank genome assembly.